GCUACGGCCACACCGGCCUGAGUACGCCUGAUCUCGUCCGAUCUCGGAAGCUAAGCAGGGUCGGGCCUGGUUAGUACUGGAUGGGAGACCGCCUGGGAAUACCAGGUGCUGUAAGCU
Molecule: ribosomal RNA, 117 nt
Filed under: Oncorhynchus mykiss (rainbow trout)
Lineage: Eukaryota; Metazoa; Chordata; Actinopteri; Salmoniformes; Salmonidae
Source: RNAcentral